AGCGAACGCUGGCGGCAGGCUUAACACAUGCAAGUCGAGCGCCGUAGCAAUACGGAGCGGCAGACGGGUGAGUAACACGUGGGAACGUACCUCUUGGUUCGGAACAACACAGGGGAAACUUGUGCUAAUACCGGAUAAGCCCUUACGGGGAAAGAUUUAUCGCCGAGAGAUCGGCCCGCGUCCGAUUAGCUAGUUGGUGAGGUAACGGCUCACCAAGGCGACGAUCAGUAGCGGUCUGAGAGGAUGAUCAGCCACACUGGGACUGAGACACGGCCAGACUCCUACGGGAGGCAGCAGUGGGGAAUAUUGGACAAUGGGCGCAAGCCUGAUCCAGCCAUGCCGCGUGAGUGAUGAAGGCCCUAGGGUUGUAAGCUCUUUGUGCGGGAAGAUAAUGACUGUACCGCAAGAAUAA
This 412-nucleotide ribosomal RNA is filed under the name uncultured bacterium. Its description in RNAcentral is "bacterial SSU rRNA". It matches the Rfam family "Bacterial small subunit ribosomal RNA", at positions 29 to 489 of the family's 1533-position model. The record is from RNAcentral.